Molecule: ribosomal RNA, 374 nt
Filed under: uncultured bacterium
Lineage: Bacteria
Description: bacterial SSU rRNA
Rfam family: Bacterial small subunit ribosomal RNA
Source: RNAcentral
GACGAACGCUGGCGGCGUGCUUAACACAUGCAAGUCGAGCGGUAAGGCCCUUUCGGGGGUACACGAGCGGCGAACGGGUGAGUAACACGUGGGUGACCUGCCCUCAGCUCUGGGAUAAGCCUGGGAAACCGGGUCUAAUACCGGAUAUGACUCCAUGACGCAUGUUGUGGGGUGGAAAGCCUUGUGCGGCUGAGGAUGGGCCCGCGGCCUAUCAGCUUGUUGGUGGGGUGAUGGCCACCAAGGCGACGACGGGUAGCCGGCCUGAGAGGGCGACCGGCCACACUGGGACUGAGACACGGCCCGGACUCCUACGGGAGGCAGCAGUGGGGAAUCUUGCGCAAUGGGCGAAAGCCUGACGCAGCGACGCCGCGUGA